This 1080-nucleotide ribosomal RNA is filed under the name unidentified rumen bacterium JW27. RNAcentral describes it as "bacterial SSU rRNA". It matches the Rfam family "Bacterial small subunit ribosomal RNA", at positions 9 to 1076 of the family's 1533-position model. Lineage: Bacteria; Pseudomonadati; Pseudomonadota; Gammaproteobacteria. The record is from RNAcentral.
GAGUUUGAUCCUGGCUCAGAUUGAACGCUGGCGGCAGGCCUAAUACAUGCAAGUCGAACGGUAACAUGGAAGUAGCAAUACUUUUGAUGACGAGUGGCGGACGGGUGAGUAAUAUUUGGGAAUCUACCUAUCAGAGGGGGAUAGCAACUGGAAACGGUUGAUAAGACCGCGUACGCUCUGAGGAGGAAAGUAAUGGGAUCGAAAGACCAUUAGCUGAUAGAUGAGCCCAAACGGGAUUAGCUAGUAGGCGGGGUAAUAGCCCACCUAGGCGACGAUCUCUAGCUGGUUUUAGCGGAUGAUCAGCCACAUUGGAACUGAGACACGGUCCAAACUCCUACGGGAGGCAGCAGUAGGGAAUAUUGCACAAUGGAGGGAACUCUGAUGCAGCCAUGCCGCGUGUGUGAAGAAGGCCUUCGGGUUGUAAAGCACUUUAGUUUUCGAGAAAGGGUGCUGUUCAAAUAGGGCGGUAUUCAGAUGUUAGAAAAAGAAUAAGUACCGGCAAACUCCGUGCCAGCAGCCGCGGUAAUACGGAGGGUACGAGCGUUAAUCGGAAUGACUGGGCGUAAAGGGCACGUAGGUGGAUAGAUAAGUCACAAGUGAAAUACCCGGGCUUAACCUGGGAUUGGCUCGUGAAACUGUUUAACUAGAGUACGGUAGAGGGGAGUAGAAUUCCAAGUGUAGCGGUGAAAUGCGUAGAGAUUUGGAAGAAUACCGGAGGCGAAGGCGGCUCUCUGGACCGAUACUGACACUGAAGAGCGAAAGCGUGGGGAGCAAACAGGAUUAGAUACCCUGGUAGUCCACGCCGUAAACGAUGUCGACCAGGAAUUUGACGCCUACGAGGUGUUGGGUUCCAGAACAAACGAUAUAAGUCGACCGCCUGGGGAGUACGGCCGCAAGGUUAAAACUCAAAUGAAUUGACGGGGGCCCGCACAAGCGGUGGAGCAUGUGGUUUAAUUCGAUGCAACGCGAAGAACCUUACCUGGUCUUGACAUGGCAGUAAUCCUGUAGAGAUACGGGAGUGCCGCAAGGAAACUGCACACAGGUGCUGCAUGNUGUCGUCAGSUCGUGUCGUGAGAUGUU